CCCCUCCUUUCCCUUUCUCCGCUCAGUAGAGCGCUUAUUCGCUUUCGGUACUCGCAGCACACCGUCGAGAGGGGCGCGCGUGCGUGUCGUGGGACAGUUCUCUGUUCUCGCUGUAAAUUGCCUUUCCGCCUGGAGGCGGUGGCCAAGUCGUCCGCCCUCCUCCACCCGCCACGCCUUUUAUCGAGGUAGCGCACAUACUCGUGGAGCACACAGAAGGAAACGCAGAAGCAUGCGCCGGCUGCCGCUCUUGUGCAGACGCACCAGUGGCUGCUGCGGCGCCACUGCUAGCGGCAGCGGCAGCAGCAGUGCCGAUGCCCUCGCCGCCGUGGCAGCGCCAUCGGUGUUGAUGUUGGCCGCGCGCGGCAUUGCGACCAACGGCCGUGUCACGAACGAGGACCGCCGCUGGUGGCUGGUGCACCUCGAGUGCGCGCCGGAUGUGACGCCCGGCACGUUUGUCUCGUGGCUCGACUGUUGUGGCACCCACACCACCAAGAAGUUGAUCGAGCGCAACAUUUGGACCAUCGAGCAGGUAGCGGAGCUCGACUCGGACCGCGUCGACGAGCUCAAGUACAAGGAAGGCUGCCUGAAGAUGGACGUUGUCUGGGAGCACGCGCGCACCAUAAUCACUCCGCUAAAGCAGCGCGAGGUUAGCGGCGGUGUUGAGUCGCAGCUGCAGAGUCGCAUUCUGGAGCUGCGCAAGAAGCGUGAGCUGGAGCGGCAGCGCGAGUCGCUUGUGAAGGAGCGGGCGACGGUGAGCGACAAGCGCGAGGAGACGCUGCGAAAGCUACGCGAGAGCAUUGCAGCCAAGAAAGCGGCGCUGCGUAAGAAGCUGGACGAGAAGCAUGGGGAGGCUGCACCAGCGGCUGCGGAGAGCGCGUCGACGGAGGCGCAUAGGGGAACCGCGGAGGCAGCUGUGGAGGAUGAAGCUGUAGGCAAUAUUGUGGAUCGAAUGAGUGGUGGGAAACCACCUCGUGCCUAAGCUGGAGUGCGUGUGUGCCUGUUUCCGUGUGCGGACAUCGGGUCCACGUGCGUUGCUCUCUGAGAGGUGCUGUGACGGGGGUGCUCAUCAAGGGGAGAGAAAGAGCGACGAAGAGAGGCCGCGCGCGGGGAAAAGGCCAGCAGAGGCUGAGAGGUGCGACGGCGCCAGCGAAUUCGCAACAGGGAGCGGGAAUGGGCGAGGGAAGAGUGCGCGAAGUCUGGGAAAGUGCUUAGCUCAUAAACUGACGUACCCGAACCCCUUCUCCUCCUUCCCUGGUCGACCUUCUCUGAGGACGGCUCCUCUGCUGUUUAUGUCCCUCGUCUCCUCUACUGCUCACUCGUGGCAGCGCCACCCCACCAAACCACCAUGACAGUACUCUCUGAGCUGGACAGGUGGGGAGCUCGUUGACAGUAACCGACGUUGAUGUGACUCUCACAGAAAAGCAAAGGGAACACAGAUAAAUCGGCAAGGGGGAGGAAGCGCACAACCGACCACCGCGGCGAUGACGCGACCGGCCCGACAAGCUCAGAAAAGUGCGAAGGUGUGGGCAGGGGGGAGAGGGGUAGAUACUGAAGACGACGUGUCUUGGACGAGCGGGAUGGGGGAAGCCGCUGCAGCAUGAGGAGAGGCGUAUGUGUGUGUAUGCAGCACCCACAUACACACAAACGCCUCCUUUACGCUUCGCCUUUUUCCCUUUGUUGCCCUCGUGCGCAUCCCACACACCACUCGUCCGCCUCCGACCGACACCCCGCCCCUGGGCCACGACAUUCACUAUCAGCACGCGUUGCUCCCCCCUCCCCCAAAGACUCUCGCUCACCUCCCAACAAGAACGGAAACGAGCGCUGCAGUUCUCAUGCGCAUUUUGUUUUGAAGGUGUGCACUACUUUUACCUUCCCUACUCUCCUCCCUCCUUCCCUCCCUCCCGCUCACUCCCUCACUCACAUCCUCGACUCCGUCUUCCUCCCCCCGGUUUUCCCACACUUUUCUCGUCUUCACAG
Molecule: unclassified non-coding RNA, 1977 nt
Filed under: Leishmania donovani
Lineage: Eukaryota; Euglenozoa; Kinetoplastea; Trypanosomatida; Trypanosomatidae
Description: gene:LdHU3.01.0080(CDS-product:hypothetical_prote in_conserved)
Source: RNAcentral